UUUGUGGCAUACUGCACUAGCUCUAAUUUGAGUACUUCAAUUCAACUUAAAGUAACUUAUUUUCUAACACUUAAUAAUGAGCUCACAGAUGAUAGAAGCAGAAAAAAAAAUACUUGGCCAAAUAUCAUUUAACCAGAUAUUGUACAUUGUAGAAUCAGUAGUCUAUCUCACUUCAUUCUUGUUAGAACCUGCAUAAGAUUUUGUAUGUGAUGCUUUUGUUUAUUCAAUCAAGUGAAAUAAGGGCUACAACAAGAGAUCACCAUUAGGUUAUCAUGAACCAGCAAAAUGGGUAUAAGAAGCUAUAUUCAAGAAAAGAUAUUCUGCUCAUUCUUUACCCAGAGCAAAUAUAAAGUCGCAUACGAACAUCUGAAACUAAGAACUCAACAAAUAGAUCAGUAUAUUCCAUGUUAAGUAUACAACUCACAAAUAGACAUUUCCAGUGAGAAAAUAUUAACUAUUUCUAAAAUGUCGUGACAAGUUGUUUUUUUUGUAGAAUUUUAUGCUCUUGCUGUUAUCUUAGCCUCACAGGAUUGUAUAUUUUGAUGGAAUAUAGUAAGAUUUUCUUAUAAUCACGAGUUCUUUUAUAAUUGGAUGAGAAGAUACCAUCUAGCGCAUCAAUUAAGAAUUACCCAUAUUAAUACCUCGAACAGGGAUGCAUGUAUUUGAUCUUUCCUGCUGAGAUUCAGUGUUUCCUAUCGGAGGUCUGAAUUUGCAUAUGUGGGGCCUCUCAGUUAGAUUGUAAGUAUACUAACCAUUCUGUAACUGAGGUUGUGCCAUAUAUCUAGAACUGUAGAAUAUCUUCCACAUAUGUUCAUUCAGGGACCUUAGAAACUCACUAUUGAGGGUUCAUUGCCAAGAAGGCAACUCAUCUCUUUGGCAUUGAAUUUAUUUGGAGUGUUGCAAUUAUCGCAAUGCUCAGUGAGAACUACCAGGGUCAUGAAGAAGUCCUAGCUCAACAAUGGCUCCGUGAGCUCUAACAGGUGUGGUGGGCUGCCAACGACCUACACAUAGUAUUGCUUAAAUCGGCUGCAAUCACUAGAUUCUCGUCACUAACUCUGUGAACUGGUAGAAAGUGGUCACGUUGGGAAAGGAGUAAACGGAAUGCUACUAAAAUAGUGGGCCUUUGGGCAACACCUAAAGCAUUGCAAUAAGCUUCUGAUAAGAAUUUCGUACAAGAAUAGGUGCUUGUAAAUAUGUUGAAUUGUUCAUGGUGGAGUUGUUGUACAGUCUCCCAACAGCAAUGAUUUACAAGGCUCAAGGGACUAUAUAAAGGCCAAACACUUGGAAUUCAAACAAGCUAGGUUCAAAAUGGUAACUUUGAGUUAUUA
Molecule: long non-coding RNA, 1328 nt
Organism: Triticum aestivum (bread wheat)
Lineage: Eukaryota; Viridiplantae; Streptophyta; Magnoliopsida; Poales; Poaceae
Exons: 2
Source: RefSeq, a predicted model, not a curated record